Salvia splendens (bonfire salvia) is the source of this 971-nucleotide long non-coding RNA. RefSeq lists it as uncharacterized. The record is from RefSeq and is a predicted model, not a curated record. Lineage: Eukaryota; Viridiplantae; Streptophyta; Magnoliopsida; Lamiales; Lamiaceae. The transcript is spliced from 4 exons.
GGAUCUGUCUCUAUGGGGAAUGGGGAUAGAGCAUCAUGAGAAUGGGAAUAGGUCGAAUCUGCUCCGCCAAUGCUGGUUUCUUCAAUGGUUUUGUUCUAGCUCGGGAUUCAGGCCUACCAUACCCGAAACUGUGAAUGAAAACGCAUUCAGCCAGGACCGUUGAGAAACGAGGCUGCCUUCCAGCAUGACUCUUGGAAUGGAACAUCUUUCAACAGUUUGAAAAGAAACAGAGAUGAUGCAUAAAUGUUCACUAAUUUCAGUGCAUUGGAAAAUGAGAGGAGCCAGGAAGAAGUCCUCUGGCUUAGUAUCCCAUUUUAGCUUGCCAAAGAUUUCCAUUUUCCCCGGAUAUGGCUGCAGUUGAGAACUUCCUGCAGUUCCAACAGGAGACGACCACUCCUUGUCAAGUUCGAGCGAAAAGGGAUACCACUCAUCCCCGAAGUAUUGGCAUAGUUAUACAGAGGAAUUCAUUGCGAUUAACAACUUCUCUUGAACUGAUUUUCAGAUGAGACGAACACUGAAGAAGUUGCAAGAUCUUUUUGAUAAGCAAACGAAUACGGCUGAUAUGUUGGAGUUGGCAGUUGAUUACAUCAAAGAGCUGCAGAAAGAAACGCAGUUUAAUGAAACAGAGGCAUCCUCUUUCGUGGUCACCGACCUCAACUUCCCUACCUAUGUAUAUUCUCCUUUCUUUAUAGGUGCUCAACAAAGUGAGAGCCAGAUGUUGCCCGGGUAAACUCAACAAGCCAAUUCUACCACGUAGUUAAGAAUAUUGUUCAGUCUUGAUUCACUAGCGACACUAUCCACGUUCCAAUGCCCAUUAGAGAAAGUUAUGAAAUUUUGUUGCGCAAAUUGAUCAAAGGCCUGUUGGCCCUACAGGAAGGAAUGACUAAACUCUAUAUUGUAUACUGGUAAGUGUUUUUACGAAUAAUUUUUGUUUACAAAGUUCGAUUCAGAUCCAAACACAUAAAUGGUUA